This 696-nucleotide ribosomal RNA is filed under the name uncultured bacterium. RNAcentral describes it as "bacterial SSU rRNA". It matches the Rfam family "Bacterial small subunit ribosomal RNA", at positions 32 to 715 of the family's 1533-position model. The record is from RNAcentral.
AACGCUAGCUACAGGCUUAACACAUGCAAGUCGAGGGGAAACGACAUCGAAAGCUUGCUUUUGAUGGGCGUCGACCGGCGCACGGGUGAGUAACGCGUAUCCAACCUGCCCACCACUUGGGGAUAACCUUGCGGAAGUAAGACUAAUACCCAAUGACGUCUCUAGAAGACAUCUGAAAGAGAUUAAAGAUUUAUCGGUGAUGGAUGGGGAUGCGUCUGAUUAGCUUGUUGGCGGGGUAACGGCCCACCAAGGCAACGAUCAGUAGGGGUUCUGAGAGGAAGGUCCCCCACAUUGGAACUGAGACACGGUCCAAACUCCUACGGGAGGCAGCAGUGAGGAAUAUUGGUCAAUGGACGAGAGUCUGAACCAGCCAAGUAGCGUGCAGGAUGACGGCCCUAUGGGUUGUAAACUGCUUUUAUAAGGGAAUAAAGUGAGUCUCGUGAGACUUUUUGCAUGUACCUUAUGAAUAAGGACCGGCUAAUUCCGUGCCAGCAGCCGCGGUAAUACGGAAGGUCCGGGCGUUAUCCGGAUUUAUUGGGUUUAAAGGGAGCGUAGGCCGGAGAUUAAGCGUGUUGUGAAAUGUAGACGCUCAACGUCUGCACUGCAGCGCGAACUGGUUUCCUUGAGUACGCACAAAGUGGGCGGAAUUCGUGGUGUAGCGGUGAAAUGCUUAGAUAUCACGAAGAACUCCGAUUG